CCCUCUUUUCUCUUUCUUUCCUCUUAUGUUUCAUCCUCGUUCUCAUAUCUCAUCUCUCUCUCUCUCCAUCAUCCGGUGAAGAAGAAGGAGAAACAGAGAAACAAUAAUAAAUUCAAAAGUUUAAUUUCGUACCAUCGUAUUCAAUAUUUGCUUUCACUGGUUCCUAUUCCACCGUCUGCCUCUUCUAUCGACCAUACCAAUGUAAACCCUAGGCGCCACCACCGGCUCUGCCACCAGGCAUGCUCACCGUUUAUCUUCCCUAUGCCACCAGCGUUUAACCACUCUUCCAAACUUAAUCAGCAAAAAGUUAGAACUUCAGGUUAAUGACUCGAUCACAUGAAAUUUACAAUCUCUCUCAAAUGUUUGCUUCAAUCAUCGCCCCGUGUCAAUAUCUUCUCCGCCUCAAUCUGUUUCAAUUUCUUUUCUUUUACUAUGUCGGCUGAAUUGUCGGCCACGACAACCCAAAUCUUUAGCACAGGGCCAUAACAAUGAUUCUUGUUUUCAUGGUAAUGAUGUUGGAUAUCAAGGCGCUGGUGAGUGAGAAAUUUAAUUUACUGCAAUUUAGCUGCAGGCCAACUAAAUCAAAUCCGACCCUUCGUUCAGUCCAUGACCAUCGCCAAGUUUCUUCAAAACCUUUUCUCCAUAGGUACGCUUCACGUAUUUAUCAUUGUAUCAUUUUUUUAAUAGGUUAGCUUAUCAAUUUUGAUAUCUCUUUGUAGACGAACGGACUUUUGGUUUAUGUAUUUUCCCCCAAUUUUGCUCUUAUUUUCCAUACCAUCGCUCCCCCAAUUUCAAUCCCUUUUCUUUCCAGAAUAUGAAUCAUCCUAAAUAAGAUUUGAUACCAGUAUGAGCUUUUCAGGUAAUUUAAGAUGGUCAUGAUGAAUCAUCAUGAUGGACUAAUGAUAAGGUCUCCACAGUUAUUCUUCGUUAUCUUUUUGGGGCAAUUUAGUUAUUAUUUUUAUUCUGUACCAUUCUUUUCAAUAAUGUUGAACCAUGUAGUUUUAACCUCAUAUUCAAUUCUUAGUAUUUCAUUUUAAAAUUAUCUCUCCUAAUGAUGAAUUAUACCUAUGAUGUGAAACCUUUGGUUGUUCUUUUAGAUAUACCACGGUUGCCAACCAUAUCUUACAGCACUACAUUGUUGCAUAUUCAAUUUAUCGAUGUCAUAUAUAGAAACAUGGCAUACCGAAUGUGAUUGUGAACUCUGGCUCCUUAUAAGCCAUGGUAGCAAGCCAUUAAUACCCUUUUUUCCCAUGAUUUCAGUUGAUUCAGAGGAUAUAUGGUCUCUACCACCUUGUUUUCACGAAUAUGUUUAUACAACUAAUCAUAGAACCUUUCGACUAUUAGAUAUUUUUCCAAAUAUGUUUCAAGUGUCACUUUUUUAUUUAACCGUAGAAAUAAUCUUUUGAAUAGUUUUAGUAGUGGAAUUUGAUAAAGGUAAAAUUCAAAUUUGAGUGCAUAGAGUCAUUGUGAUAAGACUUUAAAGUAGCUUGAGAAAGUGGUUAAUUGAAAGCUGAAAGCUACCAUAAUAGGAAAGUUCAUGCUCAAUUACAAAUGGAUACAAAUGGAAAAGAAGCAAUACAGGUAUGUAAACUACACUUCUCUUUGCUUUAAUCUAAUUAAAUAUUACUGCCCUUUUUCAUUUUGAUUUUGUGGUUUCUUGCAACAUGUUUUUUUUUCACAAAAAAUCAUAUCAUCCUGUUCCAGCCAAAAAAGAUGCGAGAUAUUUAUUUAUUUAACUAUUCCUUGAUAUAAAAAAUGACAAAACUACCAUUGAUCCUUCCUAUAGUUCCAGAUUCACUUUUUGAAGAUGGACAACUCUGGUGACCAUUCUUGUCAUUUUAAACUUGUCUAUUUAUAUUUACACUUGGGACAGUAGCGAUUAAACCGAUAACAAUUGAAAAUGAACACAAAUAUAGACAAGCAUAUUGUAAUAACAUGAUCAUAUAUAUUUUAAGGGUAAACACCAUUGAAUUUGGCGUUGAUUAAUAUCUGAAUAUAUAUGUCUUAUUUCUCUUUGUGAUAUGGCAUUAUAGGUCAAGAAUACACAUAGAGUUGAAGGAGAACAAUGUACUCGCUGCAGCAGUAACCAUUUUCUAUUUUCCUACUUUGAGACGACUUUUAACGUUUAUAUGAACAUCCUACUAAACGGUGAAGUAAAUAACAGGAGUGCGAAGAGCUUGAUCUUAUUAAUGCAUUGUACUUUGAAAACGCCAUAUCAUUAUACUAUCAUUUUUCUUCUUAAUGUACUUUUAAAAAGACCACAAAAUUAUAGCAUCUUACUUUCAAUUUCUCUUA
Non-coding RNA from Lactuca sativa (garden lettuce), 2295 nucleotides. The record is from RefSeq and is a predicted model, not a curated record. Lineage: Eukaryota; Viridiplantae; Streptophyta; Magnoliopsida; Asterales; Asteraceae.